Molecule: non-coding RNA, 464 nt
Organism: Callithrix jacchus (white-tufted-ear marmoset)
Lineage: Eukaryota; Metazoa; Chordata; Mammalia; Primates; Cebidae
Source: RefSeq, a predicted model, not a curated record
CUGAGGCUUGGUAAAGCAGGUGAAGCAGGAGGCAACAGUGGGUCGGUGUCGAGGCUCCCACCUGACCUCUCCAGGGGGUCGACAGGAGGUUUCCUGGAUGCCAGGAAAAUGCCAGGGGUGGCGGAAAGUGACAGGGAUGAAGAAACCUCAGGUGGAGUUUCAGAGAGCGGGAUCUCAGCCUCAGUCAGGCCCAGACGGUGUGUGGUGUCUGCAAGUGGGGUGUCAUGUAUGGAUCCAGUUCAUUGUUGAGGUUGUUACUUGCCUUUUGGACAAAACUCCCACCCCGUUUGGCUCCAGAAAAUAUGUGCCAGGGCAUCCUGAAGAGGACCACAGUAGCCAGCCUGGGCAAGACUGCCUUUCACCGCAUGCACUCCCAUCGUUCUGGCUCCACAGGCAUCCUUUAUGGCCAUAGCAUCGUCCCUCUUCACAUUAUCAGUAAAGGCUAUGUCACUGCAGAAGAUACU